This 349-nucleotide ribosomal RNA is filed under the name Enterococcus casseliflavus. RNAcentral's name for it is "bacterial SSU rRNA". It matches the Rfam family "Bacterial small subunit ribosomal RNA", at positions 96 to 438 of the family's 1533-position model. The record is from RNAcentral. Lineage: Bacteria; Bacillati; Bacillota; Bacilli; Lactobacillales; Enterococcaceae.
UGGCGAACGGGUGAGUAACACGUGGGUAACCUGCCCAUCAGAAGGGGAUAACACUUGGAAACAGGUGCUAAUACCGUAUAACACUAUUUUCCGCAUGGAAGAAAGUUGAAAGGCGCUUUUGCGUCACUGAUGGAUGGACCCGCGGUGCAUUAGCUAGUUGGUGAGGUAACGGCUCACCAAGGCAACGAUGCAUAGCCGACCUGAGAGGGUGAUCGGCCACACUGGGACUGAGACACGGCCCAGACUCCUACGGGAGGCAGCAGUAGGGAAUCUUCGGCAAUGGACGAAAGUCUGACCGAGCAACGCCGCGUGAGUGAAGAAGGUUUUUCGGAUCGUAAAAACUUCUGGU